Molecule: non-coding RNA, 1992 nt
Organism: Podarcis lilfordi (Lilford's wall lizard)
Lineage: Eukaryota; Metazoa; Chordata; Lepidosauria; Squamata; Lacertidae
Source: the annotation of a GenBank genome assembly
UCAUCACAUUACUCAUAAUAUACAUUUUUAUUUCUUACUCUUUUUAUUAUUCAGUCAAUUUCUUUGUCUUUUCCCAUCAUGAGCUUUGUUUCAAUUCUACCUGUUUCGCUAUUUCACUUCAUCUUCCCUAUAUAUAACAUGAAUUUCCCCCCAUUCUUUUUGAAAUGUUUCAUCUCCCUGAUUUGAAUUUUAGCUGUUAAUUUGGCUGUUUCUGCCUACUCCAACACCUUGUACUGCCACUAAAGAUCUUCUUUAAUUUAAUGUUUAAUUUAAUUAAUUUAAAUUAAUGUUUAAUUUAAUUUAAAUGUUUUCCCGAUAGGUUUUCACUUUAUCCCAUGUCCGUCACAUGGGGAAGAAACUGCCUUCUUUCACCCACAUUUCCAACACUUAUUUCCUGUUUUAUACAUCUUUGUCAAUUUAGUUUAAUGAUCUGUACAUCAUUUUUAACUGAUUCUCUUUUAACAAUCUCCAUGCUGCCAAUUUUAGCCCAGAGUUCCAUAAUUUUAUCCACUUUUCGUACUCAAUAUUAUGGCCUAUUAUGCCCAUUUAAUCCUGACAUUUUGGAUUUCCUCCUCCUUUGUGUGCCAUUCUAAUAAUAAAAUAAUCAAUGAAAAUAAAAUAAUCAAUAAAUUAAUAAAAAUUUGUAAAUCUUAAGACAAUAUUUUUGGGUUAUUUUGUAUGACUGCAGUUUCUAAUAUUGAUUUGCUUUGUUCCAAACCUCUUGCUCUUUUGUCUUUUGAGAAGAUGUCGUUCAUUUGGUGAUAUUCCAUCCAACCUGAUAAUUUAUCUUUUAGCUUUUACCUUUUAAUAAAUAUUUUAAUUAAGCUUUUACCUUUUAAUUAAUCAAAUUUAUUUUUAUUUAUUUAUUUAUUUUAAUUUAUCUUUUACCUUUUAAUUUAUCUUUUCCUAAGGCUUGAUCUUAAUUACCGUAUUUUUCGCCCUAUUGGACGCACUCGGCCCAUAUGACGCACCUAGUUUUCAGGGGGGGAAAUCAAGGAAAAAAGUAUGAUUUCCCCCCCACAGCUCUGGGAGCAGCAGACAGGCUGCACGCAGCCUGUGCGCUACUCCAAGACCUUCUCCCUGCUUUUGCGGGAGGUGGAGGAAUUUCUCCACCUCCCGCAAAUGCGUGACUCCUACGGGCUUUUCGACCAGGAGGGAAAAGGGACUGAAAUGGCCAGGCAGUCCCUUCUCCCUCCUCAGGGAAAAGCCCCCAAGAGCGGCACGCUCUUCAAAGGGUGCGCGGCUCCUGCGGGCUUUUCUGGGAGGUGGGGAAUUCCCCCACCUCCCAUAAAGCUCCGCAGGAGGGAUGGCGAGUAGCGGGAAGGCCUUGCACGCCUUCCCGCUGCCCCCCAUCCUCUGGGGCUGGCCAUGGGGGAAGCGCUGCUUUCCCCCACCGCCAGCCUCAAAGAGCAGACUCUCCUGGCUUCAGCGGAAGCAACGCAAAGCCUCCGGAGCGCAGGCUUUGGAGGCUUCGCGUUGCUAUCGCUGAAGCCAAGGAGCCUGCAUUCGCCCCAUAAGACGCACACACAUUUCCCCUUCAUGGUUGGAGGGGUAAAAGUGGGUCUUAUAGGGCGAACAAUACGGUACAUUUUCUCUUCCUGCAACAUGUCUCUAGAAGCCUCUCUCACACAUUUCCCCUGUCUUUUUCUGGAAGAAAAUUUCAAAUUCUGUGCUUUUGGAUUCCUUUCCAGAAAGGCUCAAUUGUCUUGAAAGCUCCUCUAUCUGCCCUUUCAUUUUCUCUCCUCCUUUUUGAUUUUCCCUCAUUUCUUUCUGCAAUUUUUUAUUGUUCCUCUACUGUUUGCAUUUCUGCUUUCCAUUCCUUCAUUCUGUUGCAACUUCCGUUAUCUUUUCCUCAAUGUUUUUUCCACUUUCCUUUAACUCUCUCCAGCAAGAUGGGCGGGGCACAAAUAAUAAAUUAUUAUUAUUAUUAUUAUUAUUAUUAUUAUUAAUUAUUAUUAUCUCUGCCAAGAUUUUUGCAAAAUCUCCCUCCCC